UGCCAGCAUCCGCGGUAAUACUGAGACCUCGAUCGUUACUCGGAUUCACUGGGCGUAAAGGGUGAGUAGGCGGCCAAGUAUGUCGGGUGUGAAAUCCCGGGGCUUAACCCCGGAACUGCGCCCGAAACUACUUGGCUAGAGUCUCGGAGAGGAUAGUGGAAUUCCAAGUGUAGCGGUGAAAUGCGUAGAUAUUUGGAGGAACACCAGUGGCGAAGGCGACUGUCUGGACGAGUACUGACGCUCAAUCACGAAAGCGUGGGUAGCGAAAGGGAUUAGAUA
This 279-nucleotide ribosomal RNA is filed under the name uncultured bacterium. RNAcentral describes it as "partial 16S ribosomal RNA". It matches the Rfam family "Bacterial small subunit ribosomal RNA", at positions 506 to 784 of the family's 1533-position model. The record is from RNAcentral.